GUCGACGGGUAGCCGGCCUGAGAGGGUGACCGGCCACACUGGGACUGAGACACGGCCCAGACUCCUACGGGAGGCAGCAGUGGGGAAUAUUGCACAAUGGGCGCAAGCCUGAUGCAGCAACGCCGCGUGAGGGAUGACGGCCUUCGGGUUGUAAACCUCUUUUAGCAGGGAAGAAGCGAGAGUGACGGUACCUGCAGAAAAAGCGCCGGCUAACUACGUGCCAGCAGCCGCGGUAAUACGUAGGGCGCAAGCGUUAUCCGGAAUUAUUGGGCGUAAAGAGCUCGUAGGCGGUUUGUCGCGUCUGCUGUGAAAUCCCGAGGCUCAACCUCGGGCCUGCAGUGGGUACGGGCAGACUAGAGUGCGGUAGGGGAGAUUGGAAUUCCUGGUGUAGCGGUGGAAUGCGCAGAUAUCAGGAGGAACACCGAUGGCGAAGGCAGAUCUCUGGGCCGUAACUGACGCUGAGGAGCGAAAGGGUGGGGAGCAAACAGGCUUAGAUACCCUGGUAGUCCACCCCGUAAACGUUGGGAACUAGUUGUGGGGUCCUUUCCACGGAUUCCGUGACGCAGCUAACGCAUUAAGUUCCCCGCCUGGGGAGUACGGA
This 601-nucleotide ribosomal RNA is filed under the name Microbacterium sp. RNAcentral describes it as "bacterial SSU rRNA". It matches the Rfam family "Bacterial small subunit ribosomal RNA", at positions 275 to 886 of the family's 1533-position model. The record is from RNAcentral. Lineage: Bacteria; Bacillati; Actinomycetota; Actinomycetes; Micrococcales; Microbacteriaceae.